ACUCAAAGGAAUAGACGGGGGCCCGCACAAGCGGUGGAGCAUGUGGUUUAAUUCGACGCAACGCGAAGAACCUUACCUACCCUUGACAUCCUCGGAACCUGCUAGAGAUAGCGGGGUGCCUUCGGGAGCCGAGAGACAGGUGCUGCAUGGCUGUCGUCAGCUCGUGUCGUGAGAUGUUGGGUUAAGUCCCGUAACGAGCGCAACCCCUGUCCUUAGUUGCCAACAGGUAAAGCUGGGAACUCUAAGGAGACUGCCGGUGACAAGCCGGAGGAAGGUGGGGAUGACGUCAAGUCCUCAUGGCCCUUACGGGUAGGGCUACACACGUGCUACAAUGGACGGUACAAAGGGAAGCGAAGCCGCGAGGUGUAGCGAAUCUUAUUAAAGCCGUUCGUAGUCCGGAUUGGAGUCUGCAACUCGACUCCAUGAAGUUGGAAUCGCUAGUAAUCGUGGAUCAGAACGCCACGGUGAAUACGUUCCCGGGCCUUGUACACACCGCCCGU
RNAcentral lists this ribosomal RNA (500 nucleotides) under uncultured bacterium. RNAcentral's name for it is "partial 16S ribosomal RNA". It matches the Rfam family "Bacterial small subunit ribosomal RNA", at positions 899 to 1397 of the family's 1533-position model. The record is from RNAcentral.